RNAcentral lists this ribosomal RNA (760 nucleotides) under uncultured bacterium. RNAcentral's name for it is "bacterial SSU rRNA". It matches the Rfam family "Bacterial small subunit ribosomal RNA", at positions 35 to 796 of the family's 1533-position model. The record is from RNAcentral.
GCUGGCGGCGUGCUUAACACAUGCAAGUGGAGCGACGAACCGGGGCUUGCCCCGGGGCAGAGCCGCGAACGGGUGAGUAACACGUGGGUUACCUACCCCAAUGACCGGGACAACCCGAGGAAACUCGGGCUAAUACCGGAUGUGUCUUCGGACGAAAGGAAGCUUCGGCCUCCGCAUUGGGAUGGGCCCGCGGCGCAUUAGCUUGUUGGUGGGGUAACGGCCUACCAAGGCGACGAUGCGUAGCUGGUCUGAGAGGACGAUCAGCCACACUGGGACUGAGACACGGCCCAGACUCCUACGGGAGGCAGCAGUGGGGAAUCUUGCGCAAUGCGCGAAAGCGUGACGCAGCAACGCCGCGUGGGGGAAGAAGGCCUUCGGGUUGUAAACCUCUUUCAGUUGGGACGAAGCCUUACGGGUUAAUAGCCCGUGGAGGUGACGGUACCUUCAGAAGAAGCCCCGGCUAACUACGUGCCAGCAGCCGCGGUAAUACGUAGGGGGCAAGCGUUGUCCGGAAUCAUUGGGCGUAAAGAGCGUGUAGGCGGCCCGAUAAGUCCGCUGUGAAAGUCCAGGGCUCAACCCUGGAAUGCCGGUGGAUACUGUCGGGCUCGAAUCCGGAAGAGGUGAGUGGAAUUCCUGGUGUAGCGGUGAAAUGCGCAGAUAUCAGGAGGAACACCAAUGGCGAAGGCAGCUCACUGGGACGGUAUUGACGCUGAGACGCGAAAGCGUGGGGAGCAAACAGGAUUAGAUACCCCCGUAGUCC